RNAcentral lists this ribosomal RNA (390 nucleotides) under Triticum aestivum (bread wheat). RNAcentral describes it as "partial small subunit ribosomal RNA". Lineage: Eukaryota; Viridiplantae; Streptophyta; Magnoliopsida; Poales; Poaceae. The record is from RNAcentral.
AUGCCGCUCGUCACCUGCGGUCGGACGGCGGUUAACAUUAACAGUGAGAUCGGGUCUUACUUCCCCACUCUAUGUGGGGUACGCCAGGUUGACCCAUUCUCCCUGUUUCUGUUCAACAUGGUAGUCGAUGCCCUCGCGGCCAUCCUUGAUAAGGCCAAAACUUGUGGCCAUAUACGCGGCGUAGUCCCUCACCUGGUGGGAGGGGGAGGGGUCUCCCUCCUUCAAUAUGCGGAUGAUACCAUCAUAAUGGUGGAGGGAUCCACGUCCGACAUUGCCAACCUGAAGUUCCUGGAGGGGGAGGUGGCUGUCAAAAGCGGCCAGAGUAAUCCUCAUCAACUCCUCGCUUGCCAGCCUACUCUGGUUUCUCAUGAGCUUCUAUGGCCUUCAUGA